CAAAGUGCUUCUGGCUUAGUCCAGUUUCUCUUCUCUUUCUCUUCCAUUCUUCACAGUAAAUAAAAAGAGUUACACUGUACGGAUGCCAGCUUUCAGUUAAUGGACGUGAAGUCGAAUUUGGAAGCGUCACAGGGACAGUUACCUGAUUCAGUAUAUUGGACAAGAAAAGAAAUCACACCUUCCAGUUUCCUCUGAGAAGCCCCUUGGGAUGUAGCGGGACAGAUCCAGGUCCAUUCUACUAAGCAUAACUGAUUACGUGUGAUGUUUUCUUUGGGGAUCAGAAAUUGCUGAAAUCAAUUGAUCGCAUCUGUGGAGCUAGGUGGGUCUGAGUGUGGAAAUAGCCUGGGAGGAGCGGAGCCAAGAGAUGGAUCCUGAUGGCAGUGUAAACUGAGUCAAGUCACAGCUGAAGCAACCUUGAACCUAGGUAUUUUGAAUUAAUAGUUUCUCUCUUUGACCGCUGUAAUUAGCUCCUGUUUAUUCCUUGGGGUUGACAAACUUUUUCUGCAACAGGGCCAGAUAGUAAAUAUUUUUGGUGUAUAUUUUCUAUUAGUUAAAUACUAAUUAAAUUAAUUAAUGGAACUUUCUAAGGUUGUAUUUACUGUCUCUAUA
Molecule: long non-coding RNA, 609 nt
Organism: Camelus dromedarius (Arabian camel)
Lineage: Eukaryota; Metazoa; Chordata; Mammalia; Artiodactyla; Camelidae
Exons: 4
Source: RefSeq, a predicted model, not a curated record